Molecule: ribosomal RNA, 200 nt
Filed under: uncultured bacterium
Lineage: Bacteria
Description: partial 16S ribosomal RNA
Rfam family: Bacterial small subunit ribosomal RNA
Source: RNAcentral
GAUGAACGCUGGCGGAAUGCCUAAUACAUGCAAGUCGAGCGGCAGCACGAGUAGUUUACUACUUGGUGGCGAGCGGCGGACGGCUGAGUAACGCGUGGGAACGUGCCCCAAAGUGAGGAAUAACUGCCCGAAAGGGUAGCUAAUGCCGCAUAUGAUCUUCGGAUUAAAGUAUUUAUUACGCUUUGGGAGCGGCCCGCGUC